This 675-nucleotide long non-coding RNA is filed under the name Rattus norvegicus (Norway rat). RNAcentral describes it as "long non-coding RNA NONRATT006665". Lineage: Eukaryota; Metazoa; Chordata; Mammalia; Rodentia; Muridae. The record is from RNAcentral.
ACCUGCUGCUUCCUGCAUAUUUUUCAGAAGAUGGAGUAGUGUCUGGUGCUUAACGGAACACCAGAUGCUUUUGAUAGGCCAUCACAGCAAGAUCUGAGGAAGAGGUAAGACAGACUGAUUGACAUGCACAUAUGGAUGAUGCUGGGCUCAGACUUGAGUCCGCUCAGAUGCACUAGUUAUCUCCGAGCUUCGGGCUCUGUGUCUUUGUUCAAAUGGGGACUCUCAUUUUCGGGGUUCUAUAGAAAUGAAUGACAAAGGGAUAGUUCGCUUGUGCCCAUAAACAAAUGCCCCACAGGAGAGCUGCCUAUCCUCCCUUGUGGUUAUCACGAUGCACUCUGGGGUGGGCACCUGUAAUUCUCAUCUCAUAACCACAGAAACAACAAAUGGUACUCAAGAGCAGGCUUGUCCACCGUCCCCCUCAAAGGAGGAAUUUACUCUUCAAAGUCUACAGCCCCCUCCUCCAUCCUUCUCUGUCUCUUUCACCUCCCUACCCGUGUUUCAAAGACAUUCUAGAGCUUUCUGUCAGGCAUUGUGGGAAAACCAUGCCUCCUGGAGCUCAUCUACCCAGAUCCUUUUUGACCGAUCUGUGAACGUUGUCUGUUGGGAAGGUCUAGUAGCAAGAGGCUAGCUACUCAACGGGACAGCAUAAUUUUCUUAUUAAAACUGAGUUCUGCC